AUACUCACUUUGGCAGCAUAUACACUAAAACUGGAACAUUAUAGAGAUUUAGCAUGGCCCUUGUGUAAGGAUGGUUUGUAAAUUUAUGACAUUUACUCCCAAGCU
Small nuclear RNA from Cricetulus griseus (Chinese hamster), 105 nucleotides. Lineage: Eukaryota; Metazoa; Chordata; Mammalia; Rodentia; Cricetidae. The record is from Ensembl.